CGAACGCUGGCGGCGUGCCUAAUACAUGCAAGUCGAACGCACGAAGUUGAAGAGCUUGCUCUUUAACGAAGUGAGUGGCGGACGGGUGAGUAACACGUGGGUGACGCGCAUAUUAGAGGGGGAUAACAUUCGGAAACGGAUGCUAAUACCGCAUAGUUUCAGGRAUCGCAUGAUUCUUGAAGGAAAGGUGGCUUCGGCUACCACUAAUGGAUGGACCCGCGGCGUAUUAGCUAGUUGGUGAGGUAAUGGCUCACCAAGGCAAUGAUACGUAGCCGACCUGAGAGGGUCAUCGGCCACACUGGGACUGAGACACGGCCCAGACUCCUACGGGAGGCAGCAGUAGGGAAUCUUCCGCAAUGGACGAAAGUCUGACGGAGCAACGCCGCGUGAGUGAAGAAGGUUUUCGGAUCGUAAAACUCUGUUGUUAAAGAAGAACAAGGAUGAGAGUAACUGCUCAUCUCCUGACGGUAUUUAACCAGAAAGCCACGGCUAACUACGUGCCAGCAGCCGCGGUAAUACGUAGGUGGCUAGCGUUGUCCGGAUUUAUUGGGCGUAAAGCGAGCGCAGGCGGUUCUUUAAGUCUGAUGUGAAAGCCGCGGG
Molecule: ribosomal RNA, 600 nt
Filed under: Carnobacterium maltaromaticum
Lineage: Bacteria; Bacillati; Bacillota; Bacilli; Lactobacillales; Carnobacteriaceae
Description: bacterial SSU rRNA
Source: RNAcentral